AUGCCCUGGCCCGCGCGGUCCGCGGCGGUUGGAGCGGCUCCAGAUCUCGGUCCCGCGGGCGUGCAGGGCUGGGGCGGGGGGAGCCUUCGGGGAGAACCGAGGAGAAAGCAUUUCCCGGGCGCAGGGGGCGCCCCCAGGCCGGUGCCCGGAGCUCCGGGUGGGAGCUGGGAAGGCCCUCGAGGUGGGCGCGGGGAGACGAGGGGGGGGGGGGCGGGGCGCGAACCCCGCUGGGAGCGCGCGGGGCUCCCCCCGCCCGCCGCGGCCCCCGGCGCGACCCUUCCCCAGCCGGGUCCCCGGGGCGGCGGGGCCCACCGCGCGGUCGGCCCGAAGACCCGGAGAAGCGGACUGCAGGGGGCGGGGGCGGGGCGGGGGCGGGGGCGGGGGCGGCGGGGUCAGGGGUCGCGUGCCGGGCGCGGGCCGCGCUCCGCCGAUCCGGGCUUUGCCGCGCGCCCCCCGCCCGGGCCGAGCCGAGCCGAGCCGGAGCUGUGGGUGGGACGGCGGCCGCGAGGCUGGGCUGGGCUGGGCUGGGCUGGCUGGGCUGGCGCUCCGACGGCGGCGGCGGCGGCGGCGGGCGCUCGGGAGCCGGGCCGCGGCGGCGGGAGGACAAAGGCCGGGGUGAGAGCGGCUCCGCCAGGGGGCUGCGGGGCUGCGGGGUCCGGCGCGCGGGGUCCCGGGUGCAGGGUCCGGGGUCCGGGGCGCGGGGUCCGGGGCGCGGGGUCCGGGGCGCGGGGUCCCGGGCGCGGGUGGGCGCGGGCGCUCCCCGGUCGGUGCCCGCAGCCCAGGCGCCCUAGGGUCCGGGUCCGGCCUCGAGGGCACGUGGGGCGUGGGUGCUGGUGCCGCGGGGGCGCGCGGCGAGCUCCGCAGGCGAGAGCGGCUGCAAACGGCGGUGCGCGCGGUGGUCGGUGUGCGGGUGCGGGUGCGCGCGCGUGUGUCCCGGAGCUCGGGGCGGGGUGGCAGCCGCAGGUCCCAGCACUGGGGACGCGGGAGAAAUGCGGCUUUUUCCCAGAAGCGCCCUGGGACCGGCUCUGA
This 1029-nucleotide long non-coding RNA is filed under the name Canis lupus familiaris (dog). RNAcentral describes it as "lncRNA (ENSCAFG00040008778.1)". The record is from RNAcentral. Lineage: Eukaryota; Metazoa; Chordata; Mammalia; Carnivora; Canidae.